AACUGAUCGCGAGAUCAGUCGAUAAUCUGGAAGACCAGUGGUUCGGACUCUCAGAUUAUCUCCUCAUCAGGCUAAUCACGGUUAUUUGACCCGGCUCUUGCCGGGUCUUUUUUU
RNAcentral lists this small RNA (114 nucleotides) under Pseudomonas chlororaphis O6. Its description in RNAcentral is "PrrF1 RNA". It matches the Rfam family "PrrF RNA", at positions 36 to 149 of the family's 150-position model. From Rfam's summary of the family: PrrF RNA is a small RNA involved in iron homeostasis and is found exclusively in Pseudomonas species. Their expression is induced under iron limitation by the ferric uptake regulator (Fur) and they act to negatively regulate several genes including sodB and sdh. Lineage: Bacteria; Pseudomonadati; Pseudomonadota; Gammaproteobacteria; Pseudomonadales; Pseudomonadaceae. The record is from RNAcentral.